CACUGAUUGAAAACAGGCAGGGUAUAGUAACCGGUUUGCUUUGACUCAGAGCUGUAGAGAUAGGCAGUUUGUCUGGUAGCAAUAUCCCUUUAAAAUGGCCGCCGGACUAAUAGUACCUCCCCUAAUCUGGGUGGCAAAUCAAGGAUUUGCACGAAUGCAGGCGUUCAUAAGCACAAACAGCCGAACAUGAGCUUUCUGGUAAUGCUGUUCGGGUGUUUGUGC
Non-coding RNA from Pelobates cultripes (western spadefoot toad), 222 nucleotides. NCBI's taxonomy places the organism in Eukaryota, Metazoa, Chordata, Amphibia, Anura, Pelobatidae. The record is from the annotation of a GenBank genome assembly.